AGCUUGCGGGCCUUUCAAACAUGGAGGAGCGGGAGAGGGGGGCGAGGUCGGCUCGUGCCGGCAGCCCUGCGCGCCCGCCCAGCCCGCGGCUGGAUGUCAGCUCUGACAGCUUCGACCCACUGCUGGCCCUGUACGCGCCUCGCCUGCCUCCCAUCCCCUACCCCAACGCGCCCUGCUUCAACAACCUGGCCGAGUACGAGAGCUUCCUCAGGACCGGGUGCCGGGGCGGCGGGCGCGGACGGGCGCGGGGCGCGGCCGCGGGCUCUGGGGACCCCGCCACCGCCGCCGCCGGGCCCUUGGGCAGGACCCGCCGCCGCCCGGACAUCCCCACCCCGGACCCCGAGCGCAUCCAGCGCCUCCGCCGCCUUAUGGUGGCCAAGGAGGAAGGGGACGGGGCCGCCGGGGCGCGGCGGCGGGGUCCGGGUCGGAGCAGGAAGGCGCCGCGCAACGUGCUCACGAGAAUGCCCUUGCACGAAGGCAGCCCUCUGGGUGAACUCCAUCGUUGUAUCCGGGAGGGGGUGAAGGUGAAUGUUCACAUCCGCACUUUCAAGGGACUUCGGGGCGUCUGUACGGGCUUCCUUGUUGCAUUUGACAAGUUCUGGAAUAUGGCACUUACUGAUGUGGAUGAGACCUACCGAAAACCUGUUCUAGGCAAAGCAUAUGAACGGGAUUCUUCAUUGACUCUCACUAGGCUCUUUGAUCGACUAAAACUGCAGGAUUCCUCCAAGAAGGAAACAGAUUCCAAGUCUGCAGUUGAAGACUCCACUCUGUCCAGAUACUCCCAGACAUCCACCUGGAAGGUGGCUUCAGUGUGGGGACGAGGAGACACUGACCGGGGUUCACGCAAGCGUUCCCGCUCCGUCCCUUCUUCCCUGCAGGCAUCGGCAAGGGAGGAGUCCAGCCAUGAAAUGAGAAAAAAAAUCAAAGUAAAAAGAAUAAAGCCUAAGGUUGUAUUGGGCUUUUUCCUUGAAAAGACCAAGGGGAGAAAAUGGAACCUGAUUAAGGGCCGCAUAUCAAGACAGGAGCAGUUACCCGUGGCCUGAGGACAACUGGGGACCCCUGAGACCCAUUCAGGGGACCUGCGAGGUUCCACCUUUUCCAACCACAUAUUUCUGAGGCCGGACUUUUUUCAUGUAUUUCCACCAGAACAACAUGGCACAGCAGAUCGAAUGCAGAAGCAGUUUUUAUAUGAGAUUGCUUCUCUGGAUAUUAGAAUAACAAGAUCUUAGUCAAGAAAAUUGCAAGAAGUCAAUAGAAAAAUUGAGAUCUCUACUGCUUCUAAAAGCUGAGAACAUUCUGAGGGUUAUUUGUGUGGCAAGUCAAGAGCUCACUUUCAUAGUUCUCUCCCUCACAUCUGCACUAAUGUGGUAAGUAUAAGUGACUCAAUACAUUCACAAAGCAGUUCAUUUACAAUUUGCUUGUCGGUUAAAAAAAGAAAGUAGAAUUAAAUACAGACAGGAAAAUCCUCAAUUAGAAAUCAGCUUAGUAACAGUCUCUCAGGCUUUCUUUUAUUUUUAAACUUUUUUUUUUUUAAUUUAUUUUUGGCU
Delphinapterus leucas (beluga whale) is the source of this 1547-nucleotide non-coding RNA. The record is from RefSeq and is a predicted model, not a curated record. Lineage: Eukaryota; Metazoa; Chordata; Mammalia; Artiodactyla; Monodontidae.